Dermacentor andersoni is the source of this 948-nucleotide non-coding RNA. Lineage: Eukaryota; Metazoa; Arthropoda; Arachnida; Ixodida; Ixodidae. The record is from RefSeq and is a predicted model, not a curated record.
CAUGCGAUCGCCCGUCGACAUCGGACGCUAUGGCACACUCGUGCCUUAUGUGCCACCGAAGCCCCGAAGUGCUCUGGCAUAUACCUUCACAUGUUUCCCUUCAGUAGGAAAUUGCUGGACAGGCGGACCAGCGCACCGGAAUUGUACUGGCGAAGCCACAAGCAACUCAAAGAAUCUGUUUAAUUGUUGCACUUUGAACAAUCAUGCUUUUACAAAGGCCACAGCAGAAAAACAGCCUGAUGCCGAGUAUUUCUGUGCCACGAAGUAAUCAAGAGAUAUGCAAUGGCAAGCCCUUCCGUGUGUUCCAAAUGUAAAAUUUAAGCUCUAAAUAAAAGAAGACAUUUCUAGUCAGAAGCAAGCAAAAAUGGUGAAUGCAGAAUAUCAGAAGGCCAAGGUAAAGAAAUUAUGAGAAGUGUCGAAUGAUUUUAAUGAAAGAGUCGUAUUUGAAAAUGCAAGACUCUUCAGUGGAGGUCAAGCAAGUCAAUAUAGGUAGAAUACUCUGCAAAAUUAUGCGAGUGAGGGGAUGUCAAACAAUGGGUCAGAAAAUGCGUUGUUUUUCUGCAAAACAAAAGCUGAUUGCCAUUACAUAAGUAACUUUAGCAUCAUGAGACUGCUGCUUGAUAAAUUCAGAAAUAAACCAAAAAAAGAAGACACGCAAAAAAAACAAUUUAAUGAUGCUCUCUCCACACUGGGAUAAAUAAAAACAAACACAUCACAUCUAAUGUGGACAUAUCAGACGCCUUGUGAAACACUAAAGGAAAUAUUCAGUUUCGAGCUAUGGCACUUGCCGCAUAGAUGUGGGGGGCCUUGCACUAAUAGUGAUAGUUACCACUGCAUUUAGAAAUUGAAAGCAUUCAUGCAGACAAGGAUGAUUCUUUAUAUUUUUGGCUACCACUUCAAAUGCCUCCACCAAGUGUUACAAUGCUGCACGCAGCCAUACUAAGGAUC